This 781-nucleotide ribosomal RNA is filed under the name Salmonella enterica subsp. enterica serovar Virchow. RNAcentral's name for it is "partial 23S ribosomal RNA". It matches the Rfam family "Bacterial large subunit ribosomal RNA", at positions 711 to 1493 of the family's 2925-position model. Lineage: Bacteria; Pseudomonadati; Pseudomonadota; Gammaproteobacteria; Enterobacterales; Enterobacteriaceae. The record is from RNAcentral.
AGACCCGAAACCCGGUGAUCUAGCCAUGGGCAGGUUGAAGGUUGGGUAACACUAACUGGAGGACCGAACCGACUAAUGUUGAAAAAUUAGCGGAUGACCUGUGGCUGGGGGUGAAAGGCCAAUCAAACCGGGAGAUAGCUGGUUCUCCCCGAAAGCUAUUUAGGUAGCGCCUCGUGAAUUCAUCUCCGGGGGUAGAGCACUGUUUCGGCUAGGGGGCCAUCCCGGCUUACCAACCCGAUGCAAACUGCGAAUACCGGAGAAUGUUAUCACGGGAGACACACGGCGGGUGCUAACGUCCGUCGUGAAGAGGGAAACAACCCAGACCGCCAGCUAAGGUCCCAAAGUCAUGGUUAAGUGGGAAACGAUGUGGGAAGGCCCAGACAGCCAGGAUGUUGGCUUAGAAGCAGCCAUCAUUUAAAGAAAGCGUAAUAGCUCACUGGUCGAGUCGGCCUGCGCGGAAGAUGUAACGGGGCUAAACCAUGCACCGAAGCUGCGGCAGCGACACUCAGGUGUUGUUGGGUAGGGGAGCGUUCUGUAAGCCUGUGAAGGUGGCCUGUGAGGGUUGCUGGAGGUAUCAGAAGUGCGAAUGCUGACAUAAGUAACGAUAAAGCGGGUGAAAAGCCCGCUCGCCGGAAGACCAAGGGUUCCUGUCCAACGUUAAUCGGGGCAGGGUGAGUCGACCCCUAAGGCGAGGCCGAAAGGCGUAGUCGAUGGGAAACGGGUUAAUAUUCCCGUACUUGGUGUUACUGCGAAGGGGGGACGGAGAAGGCUAUGUUGGCCG